CUCCUUUGACGUUAGCGGCGGACGGGUGAGUAACACGUGGGUAACCUACCUAUAAGACUGGGAUGACUUCGGGAAACCGGAGCUAAUACCGGAUAAUAUUUCGAACCGCAUGGUUCGAUAGUGAAAGGUGGUUUUGCUAUCACUUAUAGAUGGACCCGCGCCGUAUUAGCUAGUUGGUAAGGUAACGGCUUACCAAGGCGACGAUACGUAGCCGACCUGAGAGGGUGAUCGGCCACACUGGAACUGAGACACGGUCCAGACUCCUACGGGAGGCAGCAGGU
RNAcentral lists this ribosomal RNA (281 nucleotides) under uncultured Staphylococcus sp. RNAcentral describes it as "partial 16S ribosomal RNA". It matches the Rfam family "Bacterial small subunit ribosomal RNA", at positions 81 to 354 of the family's 1533-position model. Lineage: Bacteria; Bacillati; Bacillota; Bacilli; Caryophanales; Staphylococcaceae. The record is from RNAcentral.